Long non-coding RNA from Apus apus (common swift), 2695 nucleotides. RefSeq lists it as uncharacterized. The transcript is spliced from 9 exons. The record is from RefSeq and is a predicted model, not a curated record. NCBI's taxonomy places the organism in Eukaryota, Metazoa, Chordata, Aves, Apodiformes, Apodidae.
CACAAACUACAGCUGAAAUUAAUACAGAAUGGUAAGAAAGGUAAAACUUUUAUUGUAGUUUAACAGUAUAUUACAAAAAUGUUCAGUGAAUCCUGAUUCUGAAGUAGUGUAGGAGGAAGUGAGUUAAUAUGUUAGUAAGAAACAGACUUGUGCAUUAUACUAUAGAAUAACGUGGUAAAACAGGUUUUCUUUUAGACAGGCACUUUCCUACAAAAUGACUAGCAGUUUCUCAGAUGAAUGCAGCAGGUAAAAGCUCCAAAAUCCACUAGUUCUUCAUCUGCAAUACUGUAGAGGUUUGUUGACUGUUGUAUGGGAAGUCUUAUCUUACUAGGAAUUGUCAAAACUUUUUGCAGUAGCUUGAAAAGGUCCUGUCCUUGGCAGUGUAUUUUCUUUACCCUCAGUUCUUUGUAGAAACGUCUCUCUGUGAUGUCCAGGCCAAGAGUCAACCAAAACCAGCCUGACAAUACACUUCGUUGUGUGUUUAACAGAACAGUUUCAGGCAAAAAAAAAAAAACAACAAACCACCCUAAUCCAUUUAGUGUGAUGAGAUUUGGAGAGCUCCUGCAGUAAAUGAUGAUUCUGAGUGGUGGCCAUGUGCUGUUACUGUUUUUUUCAUUUUUGUUCUGCAGCUGUUUCUGGACUCAUGCUACGACAGAACUAGAAAGUGACAGUGGUUCCAAGACUUGGCCCUUAGCCAGGGUUUACCUGUUGCCCUGAUGUUGUUCUACAAAGCAAAAAAAUUCUCCUUCCUGGUGGUGUUGAACUGAAGUUCAUUCAUCUUCCUGCUCUAUAUAGCUGCUGAAAUAAUUGCUGUACAAAUACUGCUCCUUGCAGUCUGACUUUUUUUGCUCUAAGCACGAGGUGUCUGCCUUUGCAUAAAGUGACAUAGGAGUAUCAUCGGUCAAGGCAAUGGCUUUCAGUGUUUCUGCUUUGAAAGAAAAUGAUGGAAGUGGCAGCUGGAUCUACAGAUCGUCACUCUCUACCAAGCCAGAUUGCAUUGUCAGGUGGACUGGGUUUGCUUCAGGCUGGAAAGCUGCUUUGAUGUCUAGUCCUUGGUCACAAAGUGCAGCAUAUCGGCUGGCUGAGGGCCGCACCUUCUUUGGCUUGGUUGUCUGAGUUGGUUGUUGCCACUGAGCUAUAGAUUCAAAAGGAAAGGAAAAACAUUAGCCAUCCUGAGCUGUGCAACAGUGUGCCAGAUACAAAGUCAGCACUUUGUUAAGGAGAUACUGAUUUUUGAGCAGAGGAAACCAUUCUAUUAUUAAAGAUUAAGACAUCUGGAAAUCUGGUUUAAGUAGAAAGGAUGCGAGAACUUACCCAGACUUUCUGGGGAAUGGAUAAAAAACUGGAAGAACAAGGACAAAUGUUCUUUUACAUGAUACACGGGGAGAUUAUUCUAAGUCAGUCUAACCUCACUCGGUCAGUGUUGUACAUACUCCUUUCUAGAUUAACUUAUUGUGGAAAACUUGCAGACAAACAGUCAGGUCUCCAGGAGCCUGCAGAAAAUGAGGCCGGAAGAAUCGUUCCUGAAUUGGUUCAUUUUCAUCACCACUGUCCCUUGACCGAGAUCGUGGUCUUAAAAUAACAUGAAAUAAAGGUCUCAAGUGCCUUACUGACUGGAUGCCAAAAGGACACAGCUUUUUUUUGGCUGUUCUCACACUGCAGGGAUAACAGGGUAUUCCGCUCCAUAAGCAGCCUGAGCUUUGGGCUUAACAGGCCUAAAUGUGCGGUGUUGGAGGCGGAGCUGGUAGGACACCUCAGCAAGAGAGAGACCUUGGGAAAUGCUUUCAGGACUGUGGGAAGCCCAGUUUGUUCCAUCCAGGAAUAAGACUACUAAAUUCUUUUCAACCAACAACCUCACUUCCUAAUACUUUCUAGUUACCAGAUGGGAGGAAGAGAGCCUGCUUCACAUGCAGCUGUUAUACAAAUACAGGUUGUUGACCACAAGCACUAGGGCAAGGUGUUUGGAAUGGGACUGUGUGCAGCCAGAACUGCUGGCCCCCAGGGCUCUACAGAAUUCACCAUGUAAGAGGCACCACUGCAUAUUAAUCUUCUUCUGGCAGGUGAUGAAUUCACACAUUUUGGGAUAAUUUCUGUGUGUCCCAAUACGUGAAGGCAUCACAAAUGGAAACACAAAGGAAAGUAAGGAAAUUGGACAAGGAAGAACAAGCAGCAAGCCAAAAGUUGAAAAAGUCAUGGGAUGAACAAGGAGAAAGCAAUGAGCUGGAACUAAUUAAUGAGAAGAUGGCCUAGAAAAUAAGGGAAGUCCAGACUGAGGACUGUGAGUGCAUACUGUGAAGAAGUGGAGAGAACGGGGUAAAAGAAGGUGAAAAUCAGGACUCAAGUCAAGCCCACACAGCUCACAGAAAGGGGGGGAUGUAACCUAUAAAUAAAGGCCUAACGCAGGCAAGGUUUUGUGUUUGUCUAGGCCCAGGGUCAGUUUGCUCUGGAUUAAGUUAAAUGGCAAAUCCCACUGCAACCCCCAGAGGUUUGUCAGAACCUUAAUCCAGAUCACAGCACUUUACAUCACAGGCGAUGGCGCCUGCUGCAUUAACUACCACGGACCGUUUCCAAGGUGUGUCAACAAUUCAUGUUACAUACAUAAAUCCUGUAGUAUUAGUCCAGAUUGUGAGAUGGCAUAAACUGGCAGAGCUUUAAUGAACUUAAUCCUUUGCUUUAAUAAAAUCAAUAUCUAUCA